This 240-nucleotide ribosomal RNA is filed under the name uncultured bacterium. RNAcentral's name for it is "partial 16S ribosomal RNA". It matches the Rfam family "Bacterial small subunit ribosomal RNA", at positions 95 to 334 of the family's 1533-position model. The record is from RNAcentral.
ACGGCGGACGGGUGAGUAACGCUGGGUAACCUACCCUGUACACACGGAUAACAUACCGAAAGGUAAUGCUAAUACGGGAUAAUAUAUUUGAGAGGCAUCUCUUAAAUUAUCAAAGGUGAGCCAGUACAGGAUGGACCCGCGUCUGAUUAGCUAGUUGGUAAGGUAACGGCUUACCAAGGCGACGAUCAGUAGCCGACCUGAGAGGGUGAUCGGCCACAUUGGAACUGAGACACGGUCCAA